GGGAUAUUGGCUCAGUUGGUAGAGCGUUGGUCUCAUAUAGAGUAUGAUCUAAUUAAAAUUUAGAACAAUCCAAAGGUCGUGAGUUCGAGCCUCACAUGUCCCA
Molecule: non-coding RNA, 103 nt
Organism: Bombardia bombarda
Lineage: Eukaryota; Fungi; Ascomycota; Sordariomycetes; Sordariales; Lasiosphaeriaceae
Source: the annotation of a GenBank genome assembly